RNAcentral lists this transfer RNA (72 nucleotides) under Camelus dromedarius (Arabian camel). It matches the Rfam family "tRNA". From Rfam's summary of the family: Transfer RNA (tRNA) molecules are approximately 80 nucleotides in length. Their secondary structure includes four short double-helical elements and three loops (D, anti-codon, and T loops). RNAcentral also lists the same sequence under 2 other names. The record is from Rfam by way of RNAcentral. Lineage: Eukaryota; Metazoa; Chordata; Mammalia; Artiodactyla; Camelidae.
GAGGAUAUAGCUCAGUGGUAGAGCACAUGCUUAGUGUGCAAGAGAUCCUGGGUUCAAUCCUCAGCACCUCCA